RNAcentral lists this ribosomal RNA (811 nucleotides) under uncultured bacterium. RNAcentral describes it as "bacterial SSU rRNA". It matches the Rfam family "Bacterial small subunit ribosomal RNA", at positions 8 to 779 of the family's 1533-position model. The record is from RNAcentral.
AGAGUUUGAUCCUGGCUCAGGACGAACGCUGGCGGCGUGCUUAACACAUGCAAGUCGAACGAAGAGCGAUGGAAGCUUGCUUCUAUCAAUCUUAGUGGCGAACGGGUGAGUAACGCGUAAUCCACCUGCCCUUCAGAGGGGGACAACAGUUGGAAACGACUGCUAAUACCGCAUACGAUCUGACCUCGGCAUCGAGGAUGGAUGAAAGGAGGCCUCUAUUUAUAAGCUAUCACUGAAGGAGGGGAUUGCGUCUGAUUAGCUAGUUGGAGGGGUAACGGCCCACCAAGGCGAUGAUCAGUAGCCGGUCUGAGAGGAUGAACGGCCACAUUGGGACUGAGACACGGCCCACACUCCUACGGGAGGCGGCAGUGGGGAAUCUUCCGCAAUGGACGAAAGUCUGACGGAGCAACGCCGCGUGAGUGAUGACGGCCUUCGGGUUGUAAAGCUCUGUUAAUCGGGACGAAAGGCCUUCUUGCGAAUAGUUAGAAGGAUUGACGGUACCGGAAUAGAAAGCCACGGCUAACUACGUGCCAGCAGCCGCGGUAAUACGUAGGUGGCAAGCGUUGUCCGGAAUUAUUGGGCGUAAAGCGCGCGCAGGCGGAUUGGUCAGUCUGUCUUAAAAGUUCGGGGGCUUACCCCCGGUGAUGGGGAUGGAGACUGCCAAUCUAGAGUAUCGGAGAGGGAGAGUGGUAUUUCCUAGUGUAGCGGUGAAAUGCGUAGAUAUUAGGACGAUCACCUGUGGCGGAGGGCUAGUUUUCUAGGACGAGAUCUGACGCUGAGGGCGCGAAAGGCUGGGGGAGCGAGCGGCAUU